This 468-nucleotide ribosomal RNA is filed under the name uncultured bacterium. RNAcentral's name for it is "partial 16S ribosomal RNA". It matches the Rfam family "Bacterial small subunit ribosomal RNA", at positions 28 to 507 of the family's 1533-position model. The record is from RNAcentral.
GACGAACGCUGGCGGCGUGCUUAACACAUGCAAGUCGAACGGAAAGGCCCUGCUUUUGUGGGGUGCUCGAGUGGCGAACGGGUGAGUAACACGUGAGUAACCUGCCCUUGACUUUGGGAUAACUUCAGGAAACUGGGGCUAAUACCGGAUAGGAGCUCCUGCUGCAUGGGGGGGGUUGGAAAGUUUCGGCGGUUGGGGAUGGACUCGCGGCUUAUCAGCUUGUUGGUGGGGUAGUGGCUUACCGAGGCUUUGACGGGUAGCCGGCCUGAGAGGGUGACCGGCCACAUUGGGACUGAGAUACGGCCCAGACUCCUACGGGAGGCAGCAGUGGGGAAUAUUGCACAAUGGGCGGAAGCCUGAUGCAGCAACGCCGCGUGCGGGAUGACGGCCUUCGGGUUGUAAACCGCUUUCGCCUGUGACGAAGCGUGAGUGACGGUAAUGGGUAAAGAAGCAACGGCUAACUACGUG